Small nuclear RNA from Oryza sativa (Asian cultivated rice), 208 nucleotides. It matches the Rfam family "U2 spliceosomal RNA". From Rfam's summary of the family: U2 is a small nuclear RNA (snRNA) component of the spliceosome (involved in pre-mRNA splicing). Complementary binding between U2 snRNA (in an area lying towards the 5' end but 3' to hairpin I) and the branchpoint sequence (BPS) of the intron results the bulging out of an unpaired adenosine, on the BPS, which initiates a nucleophilic attack at the intronic 5' splice site, thus starting the first of two transesterification reactions that mediate splicing. NCBI's taxonomy places the organism in Eukaryota, Viridiplantae, Streptophyta, Magnoliopsida, Poales, Poaceae. The record is from Rfam.
AUUGCUUUUUGCUUUUUAUUAUAUCUAUCGGAUUUUAAUAUAAAGAUUAAAAAUCUGUGUGAUACGAUUAUAAAAAUCUUUCGAAAGAUAUAUAGGUACUCCCUUAAAUUAGUAUUUUGUGAGGGAGGGCCCACCACGGUAGCUCGCUACUGGGGCCCUCAUGUGUCGCCUUGGCUUUGCACUGCUGCCUUGUCGCGGUGCACCCCAA